UGCAAGUCGAACGGUAAGGCACCUUCGGGUGUACACGAGUGGCGCACGGGUGAGUAACGCGUGGGUAAUCUGCCUUCGGGUUUGGGACAACUCCGGGAAACUGGAGCUAAUACCGAAUAAGACCACGAGGUCCUCGGGCUUCGCGGAAAAAGGUGGCCUCUUCUUGAAAGCUAUCGCCUGCUGAUGAGCCCGCGUCCCAUUAGUUUGUUGGUGAGGUAACGGCUCACCAAGGCAUCGAUGGGUAGCUGGUCUGAGAGGAUGAUCAGCCACACUGGAACUGAGACACGGUCCAGACUCCUACGGGAGGCAGCAGUCGGGAAUUUUGGGCAAUGGGGGAAACCCUGACCCAGCAACGCCGCGUGAGGGAUGAAGGCCCUCGGGUCGUAAACCUCUGUCGGGAGGGAAGAAAGCUUUGCGGGCGAAUACCCCGGGGAGCUGACGGUACCUCCAAAGGAAGGUCCGGCUAACUCCGUGCCAGCAGCCGCGGUAAUACGGAGGGACCAAGCGUUGUUCGGAAUCAUUGGGCGUAAAGCGCGUGUAGGCGGCUUGGUAAGUCGGAUGUGAAAGCCCGGGGCUCAACCCCGGAAUUGCAUUCGAAACUGCCAGGCUAGAGUCCCGGA
RNAcentral lists this ribosomal RNA (620 nucleotides) under uncultured bacterium. RNAcentral's name for it is "bacterial SSU rRNA". It matches the Rfam family "Bacterial small subunit ribosomal RNA", at positions 56 to 653 of the family's 1533-position model. The record is from RNAcentral.